GGUGUUUGGUGGUGCAAUUUAAAUGGCUUGUCUGGUUACCAUUUGUGUUUGGACUGCGAGGUGGCAGGGUGGAUUUGCCCUGGCUGAUUAGUUCAUACAGCCAUGAACUUUGUCGUGAUUCCUCGGGCCAGUUAAUCUCCUCAUCCCAUAAUGAUCCUAUAUUCACUAGAGGUGUCCUUUUUUUUUGUGUGUGGGGGCAUAGGGAAUGAUCAGUUUGACUAAAAGAAAAGCUAACGAACGACACACCUGUACACUAGAGGUGGUUGAUGGCAUAGCUU
Molecule: long non-coding RNA, 278 nt
Filed under: Phoenix dactylifera (date palm)
Lineage: Eukaryota; Viridiplantae; Streptophyta; Magnoliopsida; Arecales; Arecaceae
Description: long non-coding RNA (PDAC_LNC006209)
Source: RNAcentral